ACGGGAGAUGCUAGCGUUGUUCGGAAUCACUGGGCUUAAAGCGCGUGUAGGCGGCAAGGUAAGUACCUUGUGAAAUCCCUCGUCUCAAUCGAGGAAUUGCUUGGUAUACUGCCCUGCUUGAGGCAGGUAGGGGUGCCUGGAACUCUAGGUGGAGCGGUGAAAUGCGUAGAUAUUCGGAAGAACACCAGUGGCGAAGGCGACACACUGGCCCAAUACUGACGCUGAGGCGCGAAAGCGUGGGGAGCAAACAGGA
RNAcentral lists this ribosomal RNA (253 nucleotides) under uncultured prokaryote. RNAcentral describes it as "partial 16S ribosomal RNA". It matches the Rfam family "Bacterial small subunit ribosomal RNA", at positions 525 to 777 of the family's 1533-position model. The record is from RNAcentral.